Astatotilapia calliptera (eastern happy) is the source of this 2085-nucleotide long non-coding RNA. NCBI's taxonomy places the organism in Eukaryota, Metazoa, Chordata, Actinopteri, Cichliformes, Cichlidae. The record is from Ensembl.
AAAAAAAUGGAAAUGAUGGCGGCCUGCGAUUACUUACUUUCAAUAACUGUGCCAGUACAAAAAAUAAAAAAUAAAAAACAAUAAUAAAAUAAUAAAAAACAACAAUAAUAACUAUUAUUAUUAUUAUUAUUAUUAUUAUUAUUAUUAUUAUUAUUAUUAUGUAAGAAAUAACGUUUGGCAGUAAUUUACCGAGAGCGGAACUUUAAAAAACGUCUCAGCUUCAUUCAGAACCUUUAAUGGUGCAGCACACAGCGGAAGCAGAUUCAGCAGAAUCCGGAACUGUAGAAGGACUUGUGCUGAUCGUUUAAUCGAAAGUAAAAAUGUCCACAGUGGAGUUUCUGAUAAACUUUGUCAACGAGCGGCUGUCUGCCGCCGUGGAUGAAAUUUUCACGGUGUUUGAAAACACGAUCGUCAAAUACGAGCAGGACAUCGAGCGGCAGCGCAGGCUGCUGGAGAGCUUCUGGAAGCCGGAGAUCAAGCUUCAGAGGAUCGACCACCCACAGCUCCACGUCACUGCAGCAGAGAAGGUUCUUCCUAAAAAGCGUCUCUGUAACCAGGAGAGGAACUGCAGCCUGAACCAGGAGGAACCAGGGCCUCCUCAUGUUAAACAAAAACACAAGAAACUGUUGUCCAAUCAGCAAGAACCAAAGCGUCCACAGAUCAAAGAACAGCACAAACUCAGGAGGGAGGGAGUGCAGUCGGCACUGAAGCGUCACACCGAGAGCUUUGUGGCGACUCCUGUUUAUGAGGAACAUAGAGAACAGGAACCAAACGAUGGCCAGAUUCUCUUUCACAGCUCCCCAAACUGGAGUCUGAUAGGAAGCAAGCACGUGAGGUCAGGAUCAGCCGCAAACGUGGACGAGAAACAAAGAAGGAAGCGCAGAAGAAAGGCCAAUGAAAGAAACUGUAGAAAACUCUCCCACGUCCAAGAGUCAGCAUAAAAAAGUCUGCAAAAUGUGAAGUGGGUAAAAAAAACUUGUAUGAAAAAGUCCCAAAUGCUGAAGCUUCCCAGGAUCCGCACACGUGAAGCUGCACACGUGUGACACAUAGUUGUAGGUUGUAAACUGUCACUCCACACAAGAAGUUGUGUUCAAGCAAGAUUUGCACUAAAUGUCACAGAAAUACAGCAAACGUGUGUUUCAGGCUGCAAGAAAGCUGCACGAAUAUCUUUGGGGAAAAAUAUGUUUCGAAGUCAGUCACAAGCAUUUCAUACGUUUCAAAGAUUUUUAUUUGCAAAUAAACUGCUGAACGAGUCGGUGUUUGCAGAGACAACGUGUGCUGCAGCUCAGCUUCUGGGUCAAAUCCUGAUUGUUCCUGCUUUAUCACAGCUCCAGGAUCAGUUUGUGAGCUUCUGCUCUUCCACCUGCUUUUUAAGGUUUGACCAAACUAACUGUCAGUCGAUGACCAGCUGAACGUUUUCCAGCAUAUCACAAGAAAGUGAUACCAAGUCGCUCGGAGGAGAAUCAAAUGAACAUUUUGGAUCUGUGACCAGGAAACUCCUGGGAUUUACAUACAUUUGAUUUAUUUGGCAAUAAAAUUCUUUUAAAAGUGUGAAAUGUUCCCGAUGGUUCUCGAUUACAUCAUAAAAUCAUGUAAAACAGCAAAUUUGUGCCAGUAAAAAAAAACCAAGUCUAUAAAUGCAGACUAACAGAGCGAGCUGUGAGGCCAUCUUUGAGUUUCUCUGAGGUCCUGGAGGAAAAGCUUACACGUUUGCACCACGUGUGUAGUUCCUGAUGUCAGUAUUAGAAACAUUGUAAAUAUUCCGUUCUUUUUUUCUUUUAUUUUAAUAAAUGAGGUGAAUUAAAGACCGAAGCUCUAAAUUCUAAAUGAGUUUGUUACUGAGUAACUGUGCAUGUCCUUUCAGCUUUCUUUAUUUUAUUAAUCAUGUAUAAAUGCACUAGUUGUACAUAGAUUGAUACGUCUGAUGUUUUGAAGAUGUUUUGUCAUCUUUUCAUUGUUCAGGUUUUUUAAAGUGACACUCGAGUUCUGGACGUUUUCUUUAAUAAAUGAUUCACAAACCAACAGUCGGCUCUCUGGGAUCCUUCAUCGCACUCGCGAGCGCUUAAGUCAGACAUGGCGUCUCCU